UUUUUUUUAAUUGUUGACAAAUACAUAUACAAUACGCGUGUUAUGGUGAUCAUACAGUUCAUUCCAUCAGAAAGUGUUGCACGUUCGCUUUACACCAAGUCGACCAUUAUUCUAACCGAAUGGUCCUUGGCCAUGUUCGAGCCAGUCCUGGACUGGAAUCCGCCAUUCCCUAAUUUAGAACGCGCAAACGUCGAACGUCACAGCAGCAGCCUAUCUCCUGGAAAAAAGUCUGUGAUCCUGAGAAGGCACUGCUUGCUUUUCUGAUUCAGAGUUUACUGCAGGAGAGCGCAGGCGGGGAUAAAGCACAACAUGCUCGAAUUGAAAGUGUGGUUUCCACGAAGCGGAAGACCGAUGAAUCCAGUGUUCGACACCUGGGAGGAUUCGCACAAAAUACGCUCCUGGAUCUGGGCGUAUCACUGCAGUAGCUGGACGAGCCGCUAACAAAACGGAAACUCUGCGCCCUGUAGCAUCCGCAGCCGAUCAAGCGAGUAAGAGCGCUACUACGAUUUAUUUUGUGCAAGCACAUUCUGUCGUAGUCGUGGUAAUUAAUGUGAUUUAUUGAUUUAUGUAUGGAUUUAUUGGUCAACAUUUUGUUGCUGUUGCUUAUGUGUCCAAGUGUUGAGUGACCUUGUUUUAAAUCCCGUGUUAAUAAGGUCGCAAAUUUCAAGCAAAACUCACGAUGCAUUUGUGCGGAUUGUAAACCAAUGUUGAUGUCACUCUUGUAGACAAUAAAAAUAUGUGUAGUUCAGUAAAUAAUAACUACUUAAUAAAAAAUAUAGAAAGGUAUACGUGAAGACACUGUCGACAGGAUAAAAACUUGUAGAAAAAUAUCUUAAUUUGAUUCAUACUGUAAAUAAUAGUUUACGACAGUACGGGUUUGAUGAAUUUUAUUGUUUAUAUAAUUAUUGCAAUCGCUUACCUAGAUCGAUGCGGCGAUUGAUGCAUUUAUCAUGAUUUAUGUACCAAAUGCCGCAAUGUGGCAGCGGCAUAGCCUCGUAGAUCGUAAUAAUUAUUAUUUAAUAUUUCGAACAUUUUGGAUGAUGAUCAAACUCUGUUUAAAUGAUACCUCUCAUAACAAAACUACUAACAAAUACAGUAGAUAACUUUUUGUCUGUUUAUCAUAAACAGCCACAAAUUAGUUUUACACUGCUUGUGGUUAAUAUAGUGCAACUGCGUAUUAUCUGUACUUCUACAUAGUGUGUUUACGAGUGAUACCCGCUAAAUGCUGUUUACUGUUUAGUGCUUCAGUUCGAACUCGAAGUUGUAGUUUUCGCUAACGUAAAGACGGUAAAGUGUUCGAUUAGCAACCAGUUUCCACAAACCCUGCAGUUUUUAACGCAUUAUUUAAUCACAUUUAAUAAAAUUUUUGAUGCCAUGGAGUUUGUGCUCGUGUUUCUCUGUUUGAAAGUUUUUUUCGUCGCUGAAUUCAAGGGUACAGAACCCGAUACAUGAUAUCUAGAGACUGGAGCAGAUGUCAAUGUGCUGUAACCGUGAAACGGGGAAGUGAAAGUGCCUGCAUAAAUCAUAAUCUCGAUCGUUUUCUGGUGGCGCAGUGCGCGCCCAACACGGAUGGCAAUGGCGAGGGACGAAAGAAACAAGCAGAAGGUGGUGAUUAAUCGAGUGGCAUAUUGGACAGUGGACGAUAUUCGGGGCGUCCGCUUGGAUCAUCUGGGACGUUUGGAAUAUCUGGUGGCGUGGGUUGGCUUCCCCGUGCCAACUUGGGAACCGGAAUCCAAUUGCAGACUGGCCUCCAAAAAGAUUGAACAGUUCUAUGCCCGUAUGCCCAACGAGGACCGCCAGUUUUUUAUUCAGUUUCGAACGAGUGGCACGCCAAACGGCACUGCUAACGGGAAAGUCACGACGACCACUCGUCGAAAACCGAAACGACGGAAACGAAGAGCUAAAUGAUAUGUUGGAAUUUUUCCAACCGUACGUCGGAUGAAUUUCCCAUUCAUAUUCCAGUUUGACGAAAUUGCUGGGCUGGAUGGCGAGCGGCAGCUGAAGCUCGCUUCCGGUGGUUUAUUGUUGUGGAAUCGUUUUGUGCAUCUCCCGAAAACAUAACUGGAAAAUUUGCUGUAAAUCGUCCGUAAUAUAUUUUUUUGGAUUUAUUCGUGCCAUGAUUGAUCACCAUUGGUUGAACAUAAUGGUGCGCGAUGCAUUUCUGAAAGUGUAUUAAUAAGAUUGUUGUUUGUAUCAGUGAUAUUCUGACUGCGUUUUGUUAACUUUUCGCCGCUGUUCUUUUCAGUAUUUUGUGGUCUGUCUGCUAUGCCCGGUUUCAUGUGAUAUGUUCGAUAAGGGUUGGCUCAUGGUUGUUUUUAUUUGGUGUAAUUUUGACUUUCGUGGCUCUGUGCACUUUAUGUGGUGCUCUGUGAAUUCGAUUAUUGUUUCUGUAUUAAAUUUUGGUGCACGUUAAUGUUGAUGCAUCUGAACUCCUUACCGGCAAAUUCAAUGAACUGAUA
Molecule: long non-coding RNA, 2459 nt
Organism: Paramacrobiotus metropolitanus
Lineage: Eukaryota; Metazoa; Tardigrada; Eutardigrada; Parachela; Macrobiotidae
Exons: 3
Source: RefSeq, a predicted model, not a curated record